AGCGGCGGAUGGGUGAGUAACACGUGGGGAACCGCCCCUAAGUCUGGGAUACCAUUUGGAAACAGGUGCUAAUACCGGAUAAUAAAGCAGAUCGCAUGAUCAGCUUUUGAAAGGCGGCGUAAGCUGUCGCUAAGGGAUGGCCCCGCGGUGCAUUAGCUAGUUGGUAAGGUAACGGCUUACCAAGGCGACGAUGCAUAGCCGAGUUGAGAGACUGAUCGGCCACAUUGGGACUGAGACACGGCCCAAACUCCUACGGGAGGCAGCAGUAGGGAAUCCUCCACAAUGGACGCAAGUCUGAUGGAGCAACGCCGCGUGAGUGAAGAAGGUUUUCGGAUCGUAAAGCUCUGUUGUUGGUGAAGAAGGAUAGAGGUAGUAACUGGCCUUUAUUUGACGGUAAUCAACCAGAAAGUCACGGCUAACUACGUGCCAGCAGCCGCGGUAAUACGUAGGUGGCAAGCGUUGUCCGGAUUUAUUGGGCGUAAAGCGAGCGCAGGCGGAAAAAUAAGUCUAAUGUGAAAGCCCUCGGCUUAACCGAGGAACUGCAUCGGAAACUGUUUUUCUUGAGUGCAGAAGAGGAGAGUGGAACUCCAUGUGUAGCGGUGGAAUGCGUAGAUAUAUGGAAGAACACCAGUGGCGAAAGGCGGCUCUCUGGUCUGCAACUGACGCUGAGGCUCGAAAGCAUGGGUAGCGAACAGGAUUAGAUACCCUGGUAGUCCAUGCCGUAAACGAUGAGUGCUAAGUGU
This 743-nucleotide ribosomal RNA is filed under the name uncultured bacterium. Its description in RNAcentral is "bacterial SSU rRNA". It matches the Rfam family "Bacterial small subunit ribosomal RNA", at positions 94 to 823 of the family's 1533-position model. The record is from RNAcentral.